GUCUACAGCCAUACCACCCUGAAUCUGCCAGAUCUCAGAAGCUAAGCAGGGUUGGGCCUGAUUAGUACUUGGAUGGGCGAACAACAAAGAAUGAUGAACAGCAGCUC
Ribosomal RNA from Aotus nancymaae (Ma's night monkey), 107 nucleotides. NCBI's taxonomy places the organism in Eukaryota, Metazoa, Chordata, Mammalia, Primates, Aotidae. The record is from Ensembl.